RNAcentral lists this ribosomal RNA (403 nucleotides) under bacterium. RNAcentral describes it as "partial 16S ribosomal RNA". It matches the Rfam family "Bacterial small subunit ribosomal RNA", at positions 355 to 776 of the family's 1533-position model. The record is from RNAcentral.
UGGGGAAUAUUGCACAAUGGGGGAAACCCUGAUGCAGCGACGCCGCGUGAACGAAGAAGGUAUUCGUAUCGUAAAGUUCUGUCCUAUGGGAAGAUAAUGACAGUACCAUAAAAGAAAGCUCCGGCUAAAUACGUGCCAGCAGCCGCGGUAAUACGUAUGGAGCGAGCGUUGUCCGGAAUUAUUGGGCGUAAAGGGUACGCAGGCGGUUUAAUAAGUCGAAUGUUAAAGAUCGGGGCUCAACCCCGCAAAGCAUUGGAAACUGAUAAACUUGAGUAGUGGAGAGGAAAGUGGAAUUCCUAGUGUAGUGGUGAAAUACGUAGAUAUUAGGAGGAAUACCAGUAGCGAAGGCGACUUUCUGGACACAAACUGACGCUGAGGUACGAAAGCGUGGGGAGCAAACAGG